RNAcentral lists this non-coding RNA (19 nucleotides) under Arabidopsis thaliana (thale cress). The record is from RNAcentral. Lineage: Eukaryota; Viridiplantae; Streptophyta; Magnoliopsida; Brassicales; Brassicaceae. RNAcentral also lists the same sequence under 1 other name.
UUCCACAGCUUUCUUGAAC